This 253-nucleotide ribosomal RNA is filed under the name uncultured bacterium. RNAcentral describes it as "partial 16S ribosomal RNA". It matches the Rfam family "Bacterial small subunit ribosomal RNA", at positions 524 to 776 of the family's 1533-position model. The record is from RNAcentral.
UACGAAGGGGGCGAGCGUUGUUCGGAUUUACUGGGCGUAAAGGGCGCGCAGGCGGCCAUUCAAGUCAGGCGUGAAAGCCCCGGGCUUAACCUGGGAGGUGCGUCUGGGACUGGGUGGCUGGAGAUCGGGAGAGGAGAGUGGAAUUCCCAGUGUAGAGGUGAAAUUCGUAGAUAUUGGGAAGAACACCGGCGGCGAAGGCGGCCCUCUGGAUCGUUGCUGACGCUGAGACGCGAAAGCGUGGGGAGCAAACAGG